AUUGAACGCUGGCGACAUGCCUUACACAUGCAAGUCGAACGGCAGCACGGGUGCUUGCACCUGGUGGCGAGUGGCGAACGGGUGAGUAAUACAUCGGAACAUGUCCUGUAGUGGGGGAUAGCCCGGCGAAAGCCGGAUUAAUACCGCAUACGAUCUACGGAUGAAAGCGGGGGCCCUUCGGGCCUCGCGCUAUAGGGUUGGCCGAUGGCUGAUUAGCUAGUUGGUGGGGUAAAGGCCUACCAAGGCGACGAUCAGUAGCUGGUCUGAGAGGACGACCAGCCACACUGGGACUGAGACACGGCCCAGACUCCUACGGGAGGCAGCAGUGGGGAAUUUUGGACAAUGGGCGAAAGCCUGAUCCAGCAAUGCCGCGUGUGUGAAGAAGGCCUUCGGGUUGUAAAGCACUUUUGUCCGGAAAGAAAUCCUUGGCCCUAAUACGGUCGGGGGAUGACGGUACCGGAAGAAUAAGCACCGGCUAACUACGUG
Molecule: ribosomal RNA, 486 nt
Filed under: uncultured bacterium
Lineage: Bacteria
Description: partial 16S ribosomal RNA
Rfam family: Bacterial small subunit ribosomal RNA
Source: RNAcentral